GCCAGUUUAGCUCAGUGGUAGAGCAACGGUUUUGUAAACCGUGGGUCGGGGGUUCGAAUCCCUCAACUGGCUCCA
RNAcentral lists this transfer RNA (75 nucleotides) under Verrucomicrobiota bacterium. RNAcentral's name for it is "Verrucomicrobia bacterium (wastewater metagenome) tRNA-Thr". It matches the Rfam family "tRNA". Rfam says of the family: Transfer RNA (tRNA) molecules are approximately 80 nucleotides in length. Their secondary structure includes four short double-helical elements and three loops (D, anti-codon, and T loops). Further hydrogen bonds mediate the characteristic L-shaped molecular structure. tRNAs have two regions of fundamental functional importance: the anti-codon, which is responsible for specific mRNA codon recognition, and the 3' end, to which the tRNAs corresponding amino acid is attached (by aminoacyl-tRNA synthetases). tRNAs cope with the degeneracy of the genetic code in two manners: having more than one tRNA (with a specific anti-codon) for a particular amino acid; and 'wobble' base-pairing, i.e. permitting non-standard base-pairing at the 3rd anti-codon position. Lineage: Bacteria; Pseudomonadati; Verrucomicrobiota. The record is from RNAcentral. RNAcentral also lists the same sequence under 1 other name.